GUCCACGGCCAGGCCACCCUGAGCGAGCCGAUCCCGUCUGAUCUCGGAAGCUAAGCAGGGUCGGGCCUCAUCAGUACUUGGAUGGGAGACCACCCAGGAAGACCAGGUGCUUUAGGUG
Molecule: ribosomal RNA, 118 nt
Filed under: Pteropus alecto (black flying fox)
Lineage: Eukaryota; Metazoa; Chordata; Mammalia; Chiroptera; Pteropodidae
Source: RNAcentral